RNAcentral lists this ribosomal RNA (468 nucleotides) under uncultured bacterium. RNAcentral's name for it is "partial 16S ribosomal RNA". It matches the Rfam family "Bacterial small subunit ribosomal RNA", at positions 28 to 507 of the family's 1533-position model. The record is from RNAcentral.
GACGAACGCUGGCGGCGUGCUUAACACAUGCAAGUCGAACGGAAAGGCCCUGCUUUUGUGGGGUGCUCGAGUUGCGAACGGGUGAGUUACCCUUGAGUACCCUGCCCUUGCCUUUGGGAUAACUUCAGGACACUUGGUCUCAUCCCGCCUAGGAGCUCCUGCUUCUUGGUGGGGGUUGGAUAGUUUCGGCGGUUGGGGAUGGACUCGCGGCUGAUCAGCUUGUUGGUGGGGUAGUGUCUUACCAAGGCUUUGACGGGUAGCCGGGCUGAGAGGGUAACCGGACCAAUUGGGAUUGGGAUAAGACACAGACUCGUACGGGAGGCAACGGUGGGGAAGAUAGUACAAGGGGCGGAAGCCUGAUGCAACAAAGCCGCGUGCGGGAUGACGGCCUUCGGGUUGUAAACCGCAUUCGCCUGUGACGAAGCGUGAGUGACGGUAAUGGGUAAAGAAGCACCGGCUAACUACGUG